RNAcentral lists this ribosomal RNA (451 nucleotides) under uncultured bacterium. Its description in RNAcentral is "partial 16S ribosomal RNA". It matches the Rfam family "Bacterial small subunit ribosomal RNA", at positions 354 to 796 of the family's 1533-position model. The record is from RNAcentral.
GUGGGGAAUAUUGGACAAUGGGGGGAACCCUGAUCCAGCCAUGCCGUGUGUGUGAAGAAGGCCUUUUGGUUGUAAAGCACUUUAAGCGAGGAGGAGGCUACCGAGAUUAAUACUCUUGGAUAGUGGACGUUACUCGCAGAAUAAGCACCGGCUAACUCUGUGCCAGCAGCCGCGGUAAUACAGAGGGUGCAAGCGUUAAUCGGAUUUACUGGGCGUAAAGCGCGCGUAGGUGGCCAAUUAAGUCAAAUGUGAAAUCCCCGAGCUUAACUUGGGAAUUGCAUUCGAUACUGGUUGGCUAGAGUAUGGGAGAGGAUGGUAGAAUUCCAGGUGUAGCGGUGAAAUGCGUAGAGAUCUGGAGGAAUACCGAUGGCGAAGGCAGCCAUCUGGCCUAAUACUGACACUGAGGUGCGAAAGCAUGGGGAGCAAACAGGAUUAGAAACCCGAGUAGUCC